AUCCGAGUGCUGUAAUUGGUAGCCAGGGAGCACUUAAACUGCUUUGAUGAAAUAUCGUAGGUGUUCAAGUCACCUCUCGGAUA
Molecule: transfer RNA, 83 nt
Filed under: Ophiognomonia clavigignenti-juglandacearum
Lineage: Eukaryota; Fungi; Ascomycota; Sordariomycetes; Diaporthales; Gnomoniaceae
Description: tRNA-Leu
Source: RNAcentral